GCUCUGGCUGGGCGGCCCACCAAUUGGCUGGCACUGCCUUCGGCUGGGGUUCACCUUCUGGUGAGCCGUCAUGUCCAUCAUUGGGUGUGGCGAGGAACCAGGACUUUUACCUUGAAAAAAUUAGAGUGUUUAAAGCAGGCCUAUGCCUGAAUACAUUAGCAUGGAAUAAUAAAAUAGGACGUGCGGUUCUAUUUUGUUGGUUUCUAGAGUCGCCGUA
RNAcentral lists this ribosomal RNA (217 nucleotides) under uncultured fungus. RNAcentral describes it as "partial small subunit ribosomal RNA". The stretch from base 93 to 217 matches the Rfam family "Eukaryotic small subunit ribosomal RNA", at positions 738 to 864 of the family's 1831-position model. The record is from RNAcentral. Lineage: Eukaryota; Fungi.